Long non-coding RNA from Astatotilapia calliptera (eastern happy), 1174 nucleotides. NCBI's taxonomy places the organism in Eukaryota, Metazoa, Chordata, Actinopteri, Cichliformes, Cichlidae. The record is from Ensembl.
GUGAUUUGUUUUGUAGCGUGGGCACAAGCUUCAGUCAAUGAGUCGACCAUGAAAUCCGUCUGAUAGGUAAGAUGUGGGUAUAACUGGGUCAUGCAGCAGGUUUACGAUCCCAGAUACAGCAGCAAAUCUACAACAGCAUGGCUGAAAAAGAAAAGAAUCAAGGUGUUGCAAUGACCCAGGCAAAGUCCAGACGUCAACCUGAAACCCUGUGAUGUGAAGAGAGCUGUGCAUAAACAAAUGACCGCAGUCUCUUUUAUUUUCUUUAUGUAAAGAAGAUGGGCCAGAAUUCCUCCACAGAAACUGAUAAAGAGAUAACAGAAAGCAAUUACUUAAAUUAUUGCCGCUAAAAGCUGUUCUAUAAGCUACUCAACGCUUGGCUGUAUUUGUUUUUUUUUUUUUGUUUUGUUUUGUUUUUUCACAGUUCUCGGUCUUCAGAGAGGUACUUCAGUGUGUAUAUCACCAGAUGCAGGAAAUGUUUGCUUUUCUGACUUAUUACCUGGUACUGGACUUUAACCCUGAGCUCCUGGAAUAUACUGUGUCCUUUGUCCGGGACCUCCCCUUCACUGAACCACUACAGGCGAGGUUCCCGCUCAGCCCACAUUAUUGAUUCCCUGCAUUAUUCCAUCCUCGCUACCUUGCCUCUUGUUCCCCUUUCAUCCUCUAAUUUGAUCUCUCUCCCUCCCACAGAGUCUCUCUUCAUUGAGAUGCCGUCCCCUUCCCCACAUCCAUCAGAGCAUCGCCUCCCUCUCCCACUCCUCUUAUCUCAUUACUCUCUCUAAUUAGCCCCAAACGAGCCCGUAGGAACCAAUAACACGCCUUUGCUCACACAUAUCAAUGAGUUUCUCACACACGUAGAGACACAUGCACAUCUGCAAAGCCACAUUUCAUUUGUGUCUGUGUGUGUGGAUCUGCGAGUGUGACUCACAUCAGUCUUUUUGACUAUUUGAACUUGCUGAUAUGGCCAUUAGUUUAGACAGACCUUUCUUUGGUUCAUUAUGCAAGUAGGAAAGGAAGUGUGUGUGUGUGUGUGUGUGUGUGUGUGUGUGUGUGUGUGUGUGUGUGUGUGUGUGUGUGUGUGUGUGUGUGUGUGUGUGUGUGUGUGUGUGUGUGUGUGUGCUCGCUGGUCACCUCCUGGUAUAUAGUUCUGCCUGGGACAGAGUGGUUCACCAUCAAC